Long non-coding RNA from Dioscorea cayenensis subsp. rotundata (Guinea yam), 582 nucleotides. RefSeq lists it as uncharacterized. Lineage: Eukaryota; Viridiplantae; Streptophyta; Magnoliopsida; Dioscoreales; Dioscoreaceae. The transcript has 2 exons. The record is from RefSeq and is a predicted model, not a curated record.
UAAGCCUUUGAGUAAUAGCUUUGUGUAUUGGUCUCCUUCAUCCUCUCAUCGCCAUUCCAACCUUUUUCCCAGCUUCUCUUGCUCCACUCAGAUAACUCUCACAACCCUAUAGUUGUAAGAGAGCACAACCCCCGAUCCCCCCUGAACCAUGCUAGCAAGUCGGAUUCAUGCCCAAGUAUUAUGAGUUACUUAAUUGAUAGUUGGAUUUCAUGUGAUUAUUUAGCAAGUUAGUCAAUCAACUAAUGAAGUUAGUUGGAUUUUGAGAAAUCAAGGCUUGGAAAGAAAGAGGAAGACUCCCUUGGAGGAGGUUGAGCUUUAAAGAGAAGAUCAAGGACGAAUUCACCUCUUACAAAUUGAGUUUGAUUCUCUUUUACCAUUUUUCAUGAUGUAUUUAUACUUUAAACCUUUGAUUUGCAUGGAUAGUGAUACUAUGAUGGGGUGAGUAGUUUCUAGUUAGGGUUAGGCUUCCUUUAUGCUAAUCCUUCUUUGGAUCUUCAUGUGUGGAUGAAUGUUAAUAAGUUUGAGCAAUUAAAUUUCAUGUUUGAAUGAGUUUGUGAUAUUGAAUGAAUUAAUCUACACUUA